GAUGAACGCUAGCGGGAGGCCUAACACAUGCAAGCCGAGCGGUAUUGUUUCUUCGGAAAUGAGAGAGCGGCGUACGGGUGCGGAACACGUGUGCAACCUGCCUUUAUCUGGGGGAUAGCCUUUCGAAAGGAAGAUUAAUACUCCAUAACAUAUUGAUUGGCAUCAAUUAAUAUUGAAAGCUCCGGCGGAUAGAGAUGGGCACGCGCAAGAUUAGCUAGUUGGUGAGGUAACGGCUCACCAAGGCGAUGAUCUUUAGGGGGCCUGAGAGGGUGAUCCCCCACACUGGUACUGAGACACGGACCAGACUCCUACGGGAGGCAGCAGUGAGGAAUAUUGGUCAAUGGGUGCAAGCCUGAACCAGCCAUCCCGCGUGAAGGACGACUGCCCUAUGGGUUGUAAACUUCUUUUGUAUAGGGAUAAACCUACCCUCGUGAGGGUAGCUGAAGGUACUAUACGAAUAAGCACCGGCUAACUCCGUGCCAGCAGCCGCGGUAAUACGGAGGGUGCAAGCGUUAUCCGGAUUUACUGGGUUUAAAGGGUCCGUAGGCGGACUUAUAAGUCAGUGGUGAAAGCCUGUCGCUUAACGAUAGAACUGCCAUUGAUACUGUAAGUCUUGAGUAUAUUUGAGGUAGCUGGAAUAAGUAGUGUAGCGGUGAAAUGCAUAGAUAUUACUUAGAACACCAAUUGCGAAGGCAGGUUACCAAGAUAUAACUGACGCUGAGGGACGAAAGCGUGGGGAGCGAACAGGAUUAGAUACCCUGGUAGUCCACGCCGUAAACGAUGCUAACUCGUUUUUGGGCUUUAGGGUUCAGAGACCAAGCGAAAGUGAUAAGUUAGCCACCUGGGGAGUACGCUCGCAAGAGUGAAACUCAAGGGAAUUGACGGGGGCCCGCACAAGCGGUGGAUUAUGUGGUUUAAUUCGAUGAUACGCGAGGAACCUUACCAAGACUUAAAUGGGAAUUGACAGCUUUAGAAAUAGAGCUUUCUUCGGACAAUUUUCAAGGUGCUGCAUGGUUGUCGUCAGCUCGUGCCGUGAGGUGUUAGGUUAAGUCCUGCAACGAGCGCAACCCCUGUCACUAGUUGCCAUCAUUCAGUUGGGGACUCUAGUGAGACUGCCUACGCAAGUAGAGAGGAAGGUGGGGAUGACGUCAAAUCAUCACGGCCCUUACGUCUUGGGCCACACACGUAAUACAAUGGCCGGUACAGAGGGCAGCUACACAGCGAUGUGAUGCAAAUCUCGAAAGCCGGUCUCAGUUCGGAUUGGAGUCUGCAACUCGACUCUAUGAAGCUGGAAUCGCUAGUAAUCGCGCAUCAGCCAUGGCGCGGUGAAUACGUUCCCGGGCCU
This 1345-nucleotide ribosomal RNA is filed under the name uncultured bacterium. RNAcentral describes it as "bacterial SSU rRNA". It matches the Rfam family "Bacterial small subunit ribosomal RNA", at positions 28 to 1381 of the family's 1533-position model. The record is from RNAcentral.